Molecule: ribosomal RNA, 253 nt
Filed under: uncultured bacterium
Lineage: Bacteria
Description: partial 16S ribosomal RNA
Rfam family: Bacterial small subunit ribosomal RNA
Source: RNAcentral
UACAGAGGUCUCGAGCGUUAGGCGGAAUCACUGGGCUUAAAGCGUGUGUAGGCGGAUUGCUAAGUACCUUGUGAAAUCCCACGGCUUAACCGUGGAACUGCUUGGUAUACUGGCUGUCUUGAGCCACUUAGGGGCGACCGGAACAAACGGUGGAGCGGUGAAAUGCGUAGAUAUCGUUUGGAACGCCAAAGGUGAAAACAGGUCGCUGGGAGUGUGCUGACGCUGAGACACGAAAGCCAGGGGAGCAAAUGGG